UACGGGGGGGGCAAGCGUUGUUCGGAAUUACUGGGCGUAAAGGGCUCGUAGGUGGCCAACUAAGUCAGACGUGAAAUCCCUCGGCUUAACCGGGGAACUGCGUCUGAUACUGGAUGGCUUGAGUUUGGGAGAGGGAUGCGGAAUUCCAGGUGUAGCGGUGAAAUGCGUAGAUAUCUGGAGGAACACCGGUGGCGAAGGCGGGUCUCUGGGCAGUAACUGACGCUGAGGAGCGAAAGCGUGGGGAGCGAACAGG
This 253-nucleotide ribosomal RNA is filed under the name uncultured bacterium. RNAcentral's name for it is "partial 16S ribosomal RNA". It matches the Rfam family "Bacterial small subunit ribosomal RNA", at positions 524 to 776 of the family's 1533-position model. The record is from RNAcentral.